AUUUAUAUAGUUUAAUAUAAAACACUAUAUUUUCAUUAUAGAAAUAAAGAUCUUUAAUCUUUUAUAAAUA
RNAcentral lists this transfer RNA (70 nucleotides) under Periplaneta japonica. Its description in RNAcentral is "tRNA-Glu". The record is from RNAcentral. Lineage: Eukaryota; Metazoa; Arthropoda; Insecta; Blattodea; Blattidae.